GUGCUUGCUUUGGCAGCAUGCAUACUAAAACCAGAAUGAUACAGAGAUUAGCGUAGCCCCUACGCAAGGGUGAUGCACACAUUUCCAUAUCAAAAUAUAUUUUA
Small nuclear RNA from Cebus imitator (Panamanian white-faced capuchin), 104 nucleotides. Lineage: Eukaryota; Metazoa; Chordata; Mammalia; Primates; Cebidae. The record is from RefSeq and is a predicted model, not a curated record.